Molecule: ribosomal RNA, 510 nt
Filed under: uncultured bacterium
Lineage: Bacteria
Description: partial 16S ribosomal RNA
Rfam family: Bacterial small subunit ribosomal RNA
Source: RNAcentral
GACGAACGCUGGCGGCGUGCUUAACACAUGCAAGUCGAACGAAGAGCGAUGGAAGCUUGCUUCUAUCAAUCUUAGUGGCGAACGGGUGAGUAACGCGUAAUCAACCUGCCCUUCAGAGGGGGACAACAGCUGGAAACGACUGCUAAUACCGCAUACGAUCUAACCUCGGCAUCGAGGAUAGAUGAAAGGUGGCCUCUACAUGUAAGCUAUCACUGAAGGAGGGGAUUGCGUCUGAUUAGCUAGUUGGAGGGGUAACGGCCCACCAAGGCGAUGAUCAGUAGGGGGGCGGGGAGGGCGGAAGGACAGAUGGGGACUGGUACAAGGGGCAGAGUCGUGCGGGUGGCAGCGGUGGGGGAUGUGCCGGAAUGGACGGGAGUCUGACGGCGGAACGGCGCGGGAGUGAUGACGGCCUUCGGGUUGGAAAGCGGUGUGAGUGGGGGCGAAAGGCGUGAGUGGGAAGAGUGAGAGGGAGGGACGGUAGCGGAAGAGAAAGCCACGGCUAACUACGUG